This 421-nucleotide ribosomal RNA is filed under the name uncultured eukaryote. Its description in RNAcentral is "SSU rRNA". It matches the Rfam family "Eukaryotic small subunit ribosomal RNA", at positions 381 to 887 of the family's 1831-position model. The record is from RNAcentral.
UUCCGGAGAAGGAGCCUGAGAAACGGCUACUACAUCUAAGGAAGGCAGCAGGCGCGUAAAUUACCCAAUCCUAAAUCAGGGAGGUAGUGACAAGAUAUAACAACGCGAUUAAAUGUCGCGAUUGUAGUGAGGGUAUUCUAAAAAUAGCUUCGAGUACGAUUGGAGGGCAAGUCUGGUGCCAGCAGCCGCGGUAAUUCCAGCUCCAAUAGCGUAUAUUAAAGUUGCUGCAGUUAAAAAGCUCGUAGUUGAACUUCAUGAGCAGUAGGUAGCUUACUACCUGCUCUCUACCAGUCUUUCGACUGUUACUGUGAGAAAAUUAGAGUGUUUCAAGCAGGCUAUUGCAGGAAUACAUUAGCAUGGAAUAACGAAUGUACCUACAAUUUGGUUAAUUGUAGAUUACUAUUAAUAGGGACAGUUGGGG